UGACUGACUUGUGUUACAGUCUUGAACACCGCAUACUUCGAAACGGGUGUGAAUACAGAUUUAUAGUCCACCGGACAGUUUCGCACGCCUGCAAAAAC
Priapulus caudatus is the source of this 98-nucleotide long non-coding RNA. RefSeq lists it as uncharacterized. The transcript is spliced from 3 exons. Lineage: Eukaryota; Metazoa; Priapulida; Priapulimorpha; Priapulimorphida; Priapulidae. The record is from RefSeq and is a predicted model, not a curated record.